RNAcentral lists this ribosomal RNA (538 nucleotides) under uncultured bacterium. RNAcentral describes it as "bacterial SSU rRNA". It matches the Rfam family "Bacterial small subunit ribosomal RNA", at positions 773 to 1308 of the family's 1533-position model. The record is from RNAcentral.
AGGGAAUAGAUACCCUGGUAGUCCACGCUGUAAACGAUGAGUGCUGGACGUUGGCGGGUUUACCUGCCGGUGUCGCAGCUAAACGCGUUAAGCACUCCGCCUGGGGAGUACGGCCGCAAGGUUAAAACUCAAAGGAAUUGACGGGGGCCCGCACAAGCGGUGGAGCAUGUGGUUUAAUUCGACGCAACGCGCAGAACCUUACCAGCCCUUGACAUGGGCGGACGGGGUCCAGGGAUGGACUCUUUCUCGCAAGAGACCGCUACACAGGUGCUGCAUGGCUGUCGUCAGCCCGUGUCGUGAGAUGUUGGGUUAAGUCCCGCAACGAGCGCAACCCUCGUCUCCAGUUGCCAUCGGGUAGAGCCGGGCACUUUGGAGAAACUGCCGGUGACAAGCCGGAGGAAGGUGGGGAUGACGUCAAGUCCUCAUGGCCCUUACGGGCUGGGCUACACACGUGCUACAAUGGCGGUGACAGAGGGCAGCGAAGGGGUCGACCUGGAGCUAAUCCUCAAAAGCCGUCUCAGUUCGGAUUGCACUCUGC